Catharus ustulatus (Swainson's thrush) is the source of this 488-nucleotide long non-coding RNA. RefSeq lists it as uncharacterized. The record is from RefSeq and is a predicted model, not a curated record. The transcript is spliced from 3 exons. NCBI's taxonomy places the organism in Eukaryota, Metazoa, Chordata, Aves, Passeriformes, Turdidae.
CGCAGAGCGUGUCCGGAGAACCCCUAUAUUGGGGAACCCCGACACCACGCCCCAUGGGGCCUCACCCCUGAAGUCCUGCCCCUCGCAGCUUCCAUAGGAGAUCCCCUUUGGACCACCCUUGGCCCCCAGCCCUCACCUCCUGCAGCACCAGCAGAGCCACACCUGUGGUAAGAGGCCCCCUGAGUGCAGGGUAGGAUGGAGAAGGUGCAAACCAUUCUGACACCAGCAACCAUCACCUUGUGCCUGAACAGCUGGGCUGCUUGCCCCAGCACCUCUAAGAGCUGGGCCACGAACCAACAGUCAUUACCUGUGCCUGGAAAAAUCAUCUCCCACAGAGCACCAGGGAACUGGCUCCUCCCAGCCUAGGUAGGCACCUAACACAUCUGCCUCCACCUGAUCCCCACAGCUGCCCAACUCAACCAGAUGUGCACGGCAGGACCAGCCCAGAGCCCUUCAGCCCCCACAGAAACACAGCCCACUCUUAGACA